GAUGAAGAACGCAUCGAAAUGCGAUACGUAAUGUGAAUUGCAGAAUUCAGUGAAUCAUCGAAUCUUUGAACGCAUAUUGCGCUCUCUGGUAUUCCGGAGAGCAUGCUUGUUUGAGUAUCAGUAAACACCUCAACUCCCUUUUCUUUUUUGAAAUUGGAGCUGGACUUGAGUGAUCCCAACGCUUUCUUCCAAGAAAGUGGCGGGUUGCUUGAAAUGCAGGUGCAGCUGAACUUUUCUCUGAGCUAUAAGCAUAUCUAUUUAGUCUGCCUAAAAAACAGAUUAUUACCUUUGCUGCAGCUAACAUAAAGGAGACUAGUUCUUGUGCUGACUGAUGCAGGAUUCACAGAGACAGCUUCGGCUGACUUUGUAAACUCGAUCUCAAAUCAAGUAAGACUACCCGCUGAACUUAAGCAUAUCAAUAAGCGGAGGA
RNAcentral lists this unclassified non-coding RNA (430 nucleotides) under soil metagenome. Its description in RNAcentral is "partial contains 5.8S ribosomal RNA, internal transcribed spacer 2, and large subunit ribosomal RNA". The stretch from base 1 to 120 matches the Rfam family "5.8S ribosomal RNA", at positions 35 to 154 of the family's 154-position model. The record is from RNAcentral.